Molecule: long non-coding RNA, 1018 nt
Filed under: Felis catus (domestic cat)
Lineage: Eukaryota; Metazoa; Chordata; Mammalia; Carnivora; Felidae
Description: lncRNA (ENSFCAG00000048716.1)
Source: RNAcentral
GUAAAGAUUUCAGGAAGGGUAUGGCUCUUUCUCACCCUCAUUUUUUUCUUUCUUUUCAGAGAAACCCCAAAAGUUUGCUCCUGGGUCCCUCCUUUAAACGCCCAAUUGCUUCUUUAGUUGCAGAAAAAGCAGAAAGAAGAGAAGGGAGAACAAAGGCUCAGAAGACUGAAACUAAGCCAGAUGGUUAAUUCAAAUAUGAAGGGCAAAAGGGAGCCCAAAAGGCCAUUUGGGGAUCAUUUUAGGGCUCCUAAGACUGAGGAAAUCAGAUGGUACCACUUUAAGUAUCGGACUAUGAAUGAGUCAUUGGAGAGCCACUUUUUGGCCAAAUGUUUGUGAAGUCCCCCAACUGUGUGUGCAGCCGCUCACACACGCUGGCUCUGGAGACGGGGCUGUGCCGGCCUCGGAUGGUGUGUGGCUUGUGAAAGAAGGACCCGGUACUACACCAGCUACAGACAAGCAUACAGCAUGCAGCAACAGGCCAUCUACAAGUGCUGGCCUGGUUGGAGCCCACAGGACAAUGAACCUGGAUGCCUACACUGUCCUCUUUUUUGUCUUUUUAUUCCUGUGGGUCUGUCGUGUUACCCAUCCGUGAGCCUCCACCGCAUCCAUCUGAAGACUGAGCAGAGCCCUUUGGACAUGGUGAUCUGGGGUUGGCAGAGUGGGAAGAUCUGUAAUUUAUUUCCAGCAAACAUCAGGCUAUGGAGACCUCAGGUCCAGUGUGCAGUGAUGGGUGUUCACUUGUGAAUUGGAGCAUUCUUCUUAAGACUUCAAGGUCUGAGCAGUGCACCUGAUUCAUUGUUUUUGUAUUUUGACAGGCUGGGGAUAGGAAGUGGAAGGGAGAGAGUAUUCCAGGUAUUCAGGGAGUGAGAAGUAACAGUAGCCAGACAGACAAGUCAUGAACACAUAAAACAAAUAAGCACCAAAGCCUGAAUUACUAAUAUAAAGCAACAAGAGAAGCCACAUUUUAAAGCAGAUCAUAAUUAAUAAAAUAAUUUAUACAGAUAGUUAUUAAAGAUGU